Molecule: long non-coding RNA, 448 nt
Filed under: Capsicum annuum
Lineage: Eukaryota; Viridiplantae; Streptophyta; Magnoliopsida; Solanales; Solanaceae
Description: long non-coding RNA (CANN_LNC010258)
Source: RNAcentral
UUUGCUUUGGAUCUUUUCGAGGCGGUUCCUUAUGUUUUGUUAUUGUACAGGAGUCAUGUGUGGGCGGGGGUUUGUCCCGACCCUAGUUAUGUCAUGUAUAUCCUAGAGGCUUUGUAGACAUAAGGAAGGGUAAAGUCAUGGAAGUUUAUAUAGUGAUGUUAUAUUUGUAUAUGUGGUGGCCCCGACGGCCAAGUAUUAUAUAUAUAUAUAUAUAUAUUGGUGCGUGUUGUGCUGAUACAGGUAAUUAGACCCUUCUAUAUGCAACGAAGUGCUGUCCAAAUUUUUGGUGACAUGUAAGUGAAAGUACAGGUAUUUGAACGGGUUCUCCCAGGCCUUCUCGACUUCGGGUGCCAGUCCGGCCCAAUGGGAUUUUGGGGCGUGACAGCUAUGUUCUCAGAAUGCAACUUGGUGGGAAAUCCUCGCGAAUGAUGGAUAGAUUCUGGUGCCA